UACGUAGGUGGCGAGCGUUGUCCGGAAUGACUGGGCGUAAAGGGAGCGUAGGUUGCGAUUUAAGUUAGGUGUGAAAGCCCAAGGCUCAACCUUGGAACUGCACUUAAAACUGGGUUGCUAGAGUACAGGAGGGGUAAGCGGAAUUCCUAGUGUAGCGGUGGAAUGCGUAGAUAUUAGGAAGAACACCAGAGGCGAAGGCGGCUUACUGGACUGCAACUGACACUGAGGCUCGAAAGCGUGGGGAGCAAACAGG
This 253-nucleotide ribosomal RNA is filed under the name uncultured bacterium. RNAcentral describes it as "partial 16S ribosomal RNA". It matches the Rfam family "Bacterial small subunit ribosomal RNA", at positions 524 to 776 of the family's 1533-position model. The record is from RNAcentral.